Long non-coding RNA from Temnothorax curvispinosus, 862 nucleotides. RefSeq lists it as uncharacterized. The record is from RefSeq and is a predicted model, not a curated record. The transcript has 5 exons. Lineage: Eukaryota; Metazoa; Arthropoda; Insecta; Hymenoptera; Formicidae.
CAUAGCGCAUGCGCUGUGGUAUUACUUUAUCUGCCUAUAGCAGAAUGGCAGAUAUCAUAGCGCAUGCGCUAUGGUUUCUGUAUUCUGCCCAUGGCUUCUGGAUUUUCAAUCUACAUAAAAAUACAUAAUGCAUAGCCAUGGGAAUAGGCACAUACAUUCUCCUUGUAGUCGGUCCUUCUAGAAAAGUGAUCAAGAAGAAAGAACGGAUUUAUAUUGAUUAACACGUGAACUGAGCAAAAUUGAUAUCAGUGCCGAAGUAUCCAAAUUGCUUUCUACUCUGAAGGCUCAGAGCUCUGCGACUAACAAGACGCAAGCAAACUCGAAUCAAGACGCGUUGAAAGCCAAAUCGGCGCAAGAUCCGAAGACGGAUAGCGAGACGUCGUCGAGUCCGAGAAUCGAUCUUCAUGGCAUACGAUCACACGGAUUACUGUCACAAUAAUAAUAUAAACAUGUCCGAAAAUGAAGAAAAUGAAAACCUGAAUUCUGAAGUGACGUUGGUGGACGACGAAGAUAAAAAUUUUGAUGAUUUGUUAAUAAGUAUUGUGAAAGAAUAUCCACAUCUAUAUGACAGCAGUUGUAAAGAUUAUCGCGAUGUGAUAAAAAAAGAGAACUCUUGGUUAGAGAUAUCUAAAAUUUUGGCCACGUCUCGUCGUUCAUUUUACUUGUAACGUCGUAACCGUUACUUUUUUAUAACAACCAUUUGGUAACAAUUAACGUAACAAUUUUUUAUAACGCUAAUGGUAACACCAGGAUGGGAAUGCCACUUUUGAAACUCAUUACCAUUACGUGUUAUACUUAAUGAAAAAACGGAUGUUUGCUGCAAUCGGUGGACUCGUCUGAGAGAAUCUUACUCUAAAGAAAA